This 535-nucleotide ribosomal RNA is filed under the name Bifidobacterium adolescentis. RNAcentral's name for it is "partial 16S ribosomal RNA". It matches the Rfam family "Bacterial small subunit ribosomal RNA", at positions 158 to 704 of the family's 1533-position model. The record is from RNAcentral. Lineage: Bacteria; Bacillati; Actinomycetota; Actinomycetes; Bifidobacteriales; Bifidobacteriaceae.
GGGUGGUAAUGCCGGAUGCUCCAGUUGACCGCAUGGUCCUCUGGGAAAGCUUUUGCGGUAUGGGAUGGGGUCGCGUCCUAUCAGCUUGAUGGCGGGGUAACGGCCCACCAUGGCUUCGACGGGUAGCCGGCCUGAGAGGGCGACCGGCCACAUUGGGACUGAGAUACGGCCCAGACUCCUACGGGAGGCAGCAGUGGGGAAUAUUGCACAAUGGGCGCAAGCCUGAUGCAGCGACGCCGCGUGCGGGAUGACGGCCUUCGGGUUGUAAACCGCUUUUGACUGGGAGCAAGCCCUUCGGGGUGAGUGUACCUUUCGAAUAAGCACCGGCUAACUACGUGCCAGCAGCCGCGGUAAUACGUAGGGUGCAAGCGUUAUCCGGAAUUAUUGGGCGUAAAGGGCUCGUAGGCGGUUCGUCGCGUCCGGUGUGAAAGUCCAUCGCUUAACGGUGGAUCCGCGCCGGGUACGGGCGGGCUUGAGUGCGGUAGGGGAGACUGGAAUUCCCGGUGUAACGGUGGAAUGUGUAGAUAUCGGAAAA